This is a non-coding RNA of Lonchura striata (white-rumped munia), 255 nucleotides long. The record is from RefSeq and is a predicted model, not a curated record. Lineage: Eukaryota; Metazoa; Chordata; Aves; Passeriformes; Estrildidae.
GAGACUGCCGGCUUUCCUGAGCGCUCCAGCUCCAGCUUGAAGGUGCAGAGGCUGUCACCAGACUGGUUGCCCAACGAAAUGGUUUAAAAUAUGUUAUGAAGCCUGGUUCCUGAUCCAGCUCACUGGGACAGAGCAAUGAUGUCAGAGAAGGACAAUCACAUCACUGUAGACUGUGAAGAAGCAGAUGACAUCAAGAAUUUCCUCUCCAGUCCCCUCAAGCACUAGAGCAAAAUAAAAUCAUUGUCUCUCCAUAAA